This 75-nucleotide non-coding RNA is filed under the name Mus musculus (house mouse). Lineage: Eukaryota; Metazoa; Chordata; Mammalia; Rodentia; Muridae. The record is from RNAcentral.
GGGGAUAUGGUUCAGUCGUAGAGCAUUGCCUCAAGGAUUCCAAGUCAGGGGUUUGAUUUUUAGCAUUGGAAAAAA